Molecule: long non-coding RNA, 1403 nt
Organism: Balaenoptera acutorostrata (minke whale)
Lineage: Eukaryota; Metazoa; Chordata; Mammalia; Artiodactyla; Balaenopteridae
Exons: 4
Source: RefSeq, a predicted model, not a curated record
CCGCGUGGGACUCGGCUCCGGGUCUCCUCUCUUCCCGCCGCCAGCCCUGGCGCUCCGCCGUCUGUCCCCAGGGCCUCUCACCCGGCUCCCGGAUAACCCAGGUGUCCAGACCUCCGCCCCCAGCUCGCCAACCCAGGGCGGCGGCCCAUGACUCAGGCCCCUCGAGGGACUUGGGGAGGAAGCGGCAGCUGCUCCGAGCCGGGCCCGCCCUUCCCAUCUCCUGCCACUCCUCCCCACGCGUUUGCCUUCCCGGGCCAGCCUUUGUUACCCUGGGGGCCGGGGCGGCCGCCGGGCUGCGGGGGACCCGUAGGGACGGGGCGUCAGCAGGAGCGGCGCUCGGAAGCCAACGGUUUUGGAAGCUAGCUCCCUUACUGGAGCCGCUGCCCCACUCUUCCGCUUCAACCUGUCUGCCGUGGGUCCCCAGGGAAGUGCUUUUGAAGAAAGGAUAGGACUGAAGAGGAGUUAACAAGGGAAUCUCAAGCAGGACAACAUGAACAAAAUUGCAACGGCCUCCUUCAGAGCUGGGGAAGAGGAUUCAUGCUGGUCAGUCACGAAAGGCAUGGCUGGAGUGCCCUUCUUGUUUCGGUUCUCCAAAUGCUCCCUCUUUAUAACACUCUCCAUAGUCCUCUUUACGAAGCCUUUCCUUAGAAUACUCUGCUCAUCGCCCUUUCUCCCCCCUCAGUCCUCACUCUCCCGCCUCUCCAAACCGCUAAUCCCUGAGUACCUAAUUUAGCCCUCUGGUCUCGCCUGCAGCGUCUCGGCGGCUUUCAUGGUUCUAGUUCCCUCUCCUGGACUUCCCCUGUCAUUUGUCUCCAAGCCCCGCCCCCGCUCCCUCUGCUCCGGCUCCACCUCCCUACCCCAGAGCUCAUCCUCGCUCCCUCCCGCUCACCCAGACCACCAGACUCCGAGAUUCCUCCAAGAAGUGGCCGAAGGGAGGUAAAGCGCACGAACUCCACUCCAGUGCCAAAGGCCAGGAUGAAAGAGGCGAGCGCAGCAGGGACGAGUAGCAGUGCAGGGGCCAUGGCGAGAAAUGGAGGGGUGGGGAAAGGGGCGGGUUUGGGAUUCCCGCGGCCGUAGGCUCCGCCCCGACCCCGCCUCCCGCCUGGGACCCUGCCCAGGAGGGCGGGGCUCCCGCGCGCCGACGCCCAGGCUUCCGGCUGGCGCGCGCGGCUCUUUCACACCGAGCUGCAGGGCCGAUCCCUGAGUGCCUUUCCCCGGUCUGCGAUCUCCGCGUCACAGAAGGGAAUGUUAGAAUCCCAAGUGAGAGGAUGAGUAAGAAUCCCAGUAAGAAAAGAAGAAGAGAAACAAAUGGUUUCCAAACAGGAGGCAGGACACUGUGCAUGCCAUAGAGCAAUAAGCACAUCAGUCCAGCUAAAUAUGAGCAGCAACUUAAGAUAUCUGAG